This 1150-nucleotide long non-coding RNA is filed under the name Homo sapiens (human). RNAcentral describes it as "STAT1 regulated ILF2 complex interacting lncRNA". The record is from RNAcentral. Lineage: Eukaryota; Metazoa; Chordata; Mammalia; Primates; Hominidae.
CCUUCUGCCAUUAUUGUAAGUUUCCUGAGGCCUCCUAACCAUGCUUCCUGUACAGACUAUGGAACUCCAUUUGUAAGAGAGGAUCAUGGAAUGAAUACGGGCAUUGAGUCAAGCAGUCUGUGUUCCACUGGCGGUGUGACCUGGGGCAGGCCAUUUCACCUCACUGAGCCUUAGUUUCCUCACCUGUAAAAUGUGAAAAAUAUCACCUUCCUUACCAGGCUUUUCUGAGGAUUUAAUGACAUCAUGUUCAGUGCCCAGUAUGGGUGGAUAAUACCCAGGAGUUUCCUCCUCUUCUCCUCCUAAGUUGACUUGAUGCCCCCCGCUGAAGAUCAUGGCUGAACUGGCUCAAUUCGGAUCCAGGACUCCUGGCUUUGUCUCUUCCCUAGUUGCCCACCACACCCAUGGACACCCUUAGGUAGUUUAUCCUUUUGGGACAACUGGAUUUAUUAGAAAAGGGUAUUCUGGGGUGGAAUAAGGCCCUUUUCAGUCCCCAUGGAGCCUUUUUGGAAGAUGAAGUUCUCAAACCCACAAGAGAAUUCAUAAGACGAGCACACCACCCACAGUUAGGUUUCCCUCUCAAGUGCUUUAUCUCCACGUGGGGCAAAUAGCUCUUUGUCUGCAUAUGUUAUUGGAGCUUUUGGAGUCCAGCCUUCAGAAGAGCUCUAAUUUUUGGAUUCAUAUCAGUUUAUUAGAGAAGCCUAGUUCUAAGGAUUAGCAAAUGGGUAGGUGCUCAGCCAGCCCAGAACAAGCAGAGCCAUGACAGAAGUUUCUGGAAUCUCACAGAGUCGGUGUCUUCAUGGACUCAGGGGGCCUAAAUCCAAUAGCCUGGAUUUGUCACUUUCCCUUAUUCCCUUAUCAAACUCUUCCCUUUUGGACAUCAGAGAAGGAAAGUACUUCCUGUAAGGGGGCAAUUUGCAAAGCUUCAUGGAAGUGGCAUUUGAGUGUGGCCUUAAAGGAUGUGUAGGAUUGGGAACCAUAGAUAUUUAGAGGAAGGCAUUCCUGGCAGAAGGAACAGCAGCAAAACACAGAAGUGGAAAUUAGUAGCAGCAUUAAUGGAGAAUAAUUUGGGGAAUAAGAUAUACAAAUGGAAUAAUAAAAAUAGCAUUAAUUAAACAUUGUGGGAGUCAUUCUGUAAGAUGGCCCCUGGUGA